Non-coding RNA from Paramuricea clavata, 176 nucleotides. The record is from the annotation of a GenBank genome assembly. Lineage: Eukaryota; Metazoa; Cnidaria; Anthozoa; Malacalcyonacea; Plexauridae.
AUUUUUAAAAAUUUUGCUAAAUUUUCGGCUGCAAACUGCUAGCCUUCUUCUGAGCAAUGUGCCACAUUGGCCAAAAUGGCCCAAAGGCCACAUUGCUCAGAAGAAGGCUAGCAGUUUGCAGCCGAAAAUUUAGCAAAAUUUUUGAAAAAGUUUUUAACAUUAGAAUGUUUUUAAUU